Molecule: ribosomal RNA, 459 nt
Filed under: uncultured bacterium
Lineage: Bacteria
Description: partial 16S ribosomal RNA
Rfam family: Bacterial small subunit ribosomal RNA
Source: RNAcentral
CCUACGGGAGGCAGCAGUGAGGAAUAUUGGUCAAUGGCCGGAAGGCUGAACCAGCCAUGCCGCGUGAAGGUCAGUGCCCUAUGGGCGUUAAACUUCUUUUGUGCGGGAGCAAUAAUGGUCACGUGUGGCCAGACGAGUGUACCGUACGAAUAAGGAGCGGCUAACUCCGUGCCAGCAGCCGCGGUAAUACGGAGGAUCAAAGCGUUAUCCGGAUGUAUUGGGUUUAAAGGGUGCGUAGGCGGUUUGAUAAGUUAGAGGUGAAAUACCGGUGCUCAACACCGGAACUGCCUCUAAUACUGUUGAAGUAGAGAGUAGGUGCGGUAGGCGGAAUGUAUGGUGUAGCGGUGAAAUGCUUAGAGAUCAUACAGAACACCGAUUGCGAAGGCAGCUUACCAAACUAUAUCUGACGUUGAGGCACGAAAGCGUGGGUAGCAAACAGGAUUAGAUACCCUGGUAGUC